UAGGGAAUCUUCGGCAAUGGACGAAAGUCUGACCGAGCAACGCCGCGUGAGUGAAGAAGGUUUUCGGAUCGUAAAACUCUGUUGUUAGAGAAGAACAAGGACGUUAGUAACUGAACGUCCCCUGACGGUAUCUAACCAGAAAGCCACGGCUAACUACGUGCCAGCAGCCGCGGUAAUACGUAGGUGGCAAGCGUUGUCCGGAUUUAUUGGGCGUAAAGCGAGCGCAGGCGGUUUCUUAAGUCUGAUGUGAAAGCCCCCGGCUCAACCGGGGAGGGUCAUUGGAAACUGGGAGACUUGAGUGCAGAAGAGGAGAAUGGAAUUCCAUGUGUAGCGGUGAAAUGCGUAGAUAUAUGGAGGAACACCAGUGGCGAAGGCGGCUCUCUGGUCUGUGACUGACGCUGAGGCUCGAAAGCGUGGGGAGCAAACAGG
RNAcentral lists this ribosomal RNA (429 nucleotides) under Gemmatimonadota bacterium. RNAcentral describes it as "Gemmatimonadetes bacterium partial 16S ribosomal RNA". It matches the Rfam family "Bacterial small subunit ribosomal RNA", at positions 355 to 776 of the family's 1533-position model. Lineage: Bacteria; Pseudomonadati; Gemmatimonadota. The record is from RNAcentral.